RNAcentral lists this RNase P RNA (389 nucleotides) under Hydrogenophilales bacterium. Its description in RNAcentral is "RNase P RNA component class A". It matches the Rfam family "Bacterial RNase P class A". From Rfam's summary of the family: Ribonuclease P (RNase P) is a ubiquitous endoribonuclease, found in archaea, bacteria and eukarya as well as chloroplasts and mitochondria. The record is from RNAcentral. Lineage: Bacteria; Pseudomonadati; Pseudomonadota; Hydrogenophilia; Hydrogenophilales.
GGAGUUGGCCAGGCAAUCGCUGUUCCCUCGGGGGCAGAGGAAAGUCCGGGCUCCACAGGACAGGGUGCCAGGUAACGCCUGGGCGUCGCGAGACGACGGAAAGUGGAACAGAAAGCAUACCGCCGAUGGCCGCAAGGCACAGGCAAGGUUGAAAUGGCGCGGUUGCCCGCAAGGGCGGCUGGGCCCGCCGCAAGGCGGGUCGGGUAAGAGCCCACCGCGUUCCUGGCAACAGGAACGGCACGCUAAACCCCACCCGGAGCAAAGCCAAAUAGGCAGGCGUCGAAGCGGUCCGCUGAGCCUGCGGGUAGGCUGCACGAGGCGCCAGGCGACUGGCGUCCCAGAUGAAUGAUUGCCCACGACAGAACCCGGCUUAUCGGCCAACUCCACCC